Molecule: ribosomal RNA, 390 nt
Filed under: uncultured bacterium
Lineage: Bacteria
Description: bacterial SSU rRNA
Rfam family: Bacterial small subunit ribosomal RNA
Source: RNAcentral
GACGAACGCUGGCGGCGUGCUUAACACAUGCAAGUCGAGCGGUAAGGCCCUUUCGGGGGUACACGAGCGGCGAACGGGUGAGUAACACGUGGGUGACCUGCCCUCAGCUCUGGGAUAAGCCCGGGAAACUGGGUCUAAUACUGGAUAUGACUCCAUGACGCAUGUUGUGGGGUGGAAAGCCUUGUGCGGCUGAGGAUGGGCCCGCGGCCUAUCAGCUUGUUGGGGGGUGAUGGCCUACCAAGGCGACGACGGGUAGCCGGCCUGAGAGGGCGACCGGCCACACUGGGACUGAGACACGGCCCAGACUCCUACGGGAGGCAGCAGUGGGGAAUCUUGCGCAAUGGGCGAAAGCCUGACGCAGCGACGCCGCGUGAGGGAUGACGGCCUGGU